This is a long non-coding RNA of Hemicordylus capensis (graceful crag lizard), 1584 nucleotides long. RefSeq lists it as uncharacterized. The record is from RefSeq and is a predicted model, not a curated record. The transcript is spliced from 4 exons. Lineage: Eukaryota; Metazoa; Chordata; Lepidosauria; Squamata; Cordylidae.
AAGGAAGCCUGCACAGCCAGUUCUUCCUCCUCUCUGGAGUCAGCAAGUAAUUUCAAUCUGAGCAAGGACCUUCACAUUAACUUCAAAAUUUUACUAUCUCCAAUAGCUCUAUAAAGCUGGAUAAAACGUUGCUUACCACUGUGGGGAAUCAAAGCCACUUUAGCCACUUCUCAAAAACAUUGUGGGGAGGAAUCAUAGCUCAGUGGAAGAGCUCCUGCUUUGCAUGUGGAAGAUCCCAGGUUCAAACCCAGUUAACAGAAGUAUUGCUUUGCGUACAGAAGAGGAUCUGAUCUGGAUGCAGAAGAUCUCAGACAUCUCCAGGUAGGGCCACGGAAGACCCCUGCCUGAAAGCCUGGAGAACAUUUGGAAAUUUGUUGAGAUUAUUUUGCUGUUAAUAUUAACUCAGAAUAAUUGUAUAGUCUGACAGUGUGCUAAUUGUAUAUUUUUGUACCUUGACGGGUACUCUGUAGUGUGAACCUAUGCUGAAAGAUGGUUUAAAUUAAAAUUAUUAUUAAUAAACAAAUGCUGCAUUAAAAAGUCAUGGUAAAAUAUAUUAGCAUGUACAUAGGACCUUUCACACAUUUUGACUCCUGCUUUUCCUCCAAGCAAUUGAGAACUAUCAGCAGCAUUGCAUUUAAGUACUAGUUAGGUCCUGCUUUCCUAAACCCAUUGUCUUCCUAAAUUAUCCUACAAUGUUUUAAUACAUUAUGGUGAUUAACUUUACAUAUCCAAACAAAUUAUUCCUUGUAUACUUUUCUCUCACACUAAAAUUGUUGUAUUUAGCUUAGUAUCAUUUCAACCUUAUUUAAACAUGGACAUGAUUUGUCAUAAAAAUACAGUUGCUAUAAGAAUCUAAUUGAAACCUGGGUUGCAAUAUUGAAUUCACUAUCAUACUGUAUUUUCAUAAUAAUCUCCAAGCAUUAUGCACAGUUACAACUCAGAUAAUUCAUUAUUAGGGUGAAACUAUACAGUGUUGAACUAUGCUUCACUAUUAUACACAUGCUUUAGUCUAAUAAUCUCACCUGUAAAAACUAGUCAUUGUAUCAAGCAGUUUAAGAGAUUUGGGUAAUUCAUUCCAAGCUGAUGGUCAAGCAUAUGCAAAGAAUAUCUUUCCAAUUUCCAUUUUAAUUGGGGAACAAUAAAAAUUGCAAUUCAUCAAGAAAUCUUAAUGCACUAUUACUUAUUAUGGGCUUCAAAUGGGCACCUUAGAUGCAUUUGCGUAUUUGUAAUAGAAGGACCUUGCUCUGACUUUUAGCUUUCAGCCGAAUGUAUUCAAUGUUUUCAUAGGUUUUACAGUGAGGUUUAUUAUUAUUAUCUUCAGGAGCAGCACCCACAGUAAAAUUAUAUAAUCUAUUAAGGGGACAGAUGUGGAACUUAUAGAUGUGGAACUUAGUGAAAUUAAUUUUAUAGGCUGCAGUAUUCCCUCAGCUCUGUUUGAAAGGUUUCUUCAGAGGAAAAAAGAAUAGUAUCAUUACUUUUGGAUGAAUGUGCCUCCAUGCAAUUCUAUGGAAAAAGACUACACUUGAAACUAUAGUAUUUUGUCUUCCUUUUGUGUUUGAGCUCAGAAUAAAUAUAUGAAUAUCA